This is a long non-coding RNA of Oncorhynchus nerka (sockeye salmon), 370 nucleotides long. RefSeq lists it as uncharacterized. The record is from RefSeq and is a predicted model, not a curated record. NCBI's taxonomy places the organism in Eukaryota, Metazoa, Chordata, Actinopteri, Salmoniformes, Salmonidae. The transcript has 2 exons.
ACGGAUCUCAACUAGGGUGCGGGCGAAGUGGCUCCAGUCCUCAGGGUGUGGCACUGCCAGCUACAGGAGACAAACACGGUCCCGGCCGCUGUAGUCGAAGAAGAUGUCGCCCUCCUCGGCCAGCGCCCGCUCCACCACAGAGACCGACCGCUCAAAGAACACCAGGAAGUCCUCUGAGUGGAGAAUCUGUUCCCUCUCCUCCUCCGUCAGCUCUCUGGGAUGGGCUGAGAGGGAUCACAUACAUUGUGAUACCAGUGUUGAGGAGAUAUGUUGGUUGUAUAUGUUUAGCUGCCCAACAAGUCACCUCAGAGGUUGCGAGUGCUUGUCCUAACAGCAGUGUGUUAAAGAACAUAAAGUCAUUAUUACCCUC